AUACGGAGGGUCCAAGCGUUAUCCGGAUUCAUUGGGUUUAAAGGGUGCGCAGGCGGAUAUUUAAGUCAGUGGUGAAAUCCCGGGGCUCAACCUCGGAACUGCCAUUGAUACUGAAUAUCUGGAAUACGGUUGAAGUGGGCGGAAUGUAGCAUGUAGCGGUGAAAUGCAUAGAGAUGCUACAGAACACCGAUCGCGAAGGCAGCUCACUAAGCCGAUAUUGACGCUCAGGCACGAAAGCGUGGGGAGCGAACAGGAUUAGAUACCCUAGUAGUCC
RNAcentral lists this ribosomal RNA (274 nucleotides) under uncultured bacterium. RNAcentral describes it as "partial 16S ribosomal RNA". It matches the Rfam family "Bacterial small subunit ribosomal RNA", at positions 523 to 796 of the family's 1533-position model. The record is from RNAcentral.